UCAACGAUGAAUGUAAUUCUGAUGGUACUAUUAAGAACACUUGCUUAGCGCAGAAGCUGACGUUGGCAGGUCAACUCUUUUGACUUCUCGAAUAGGAUACCAUUGGUUUUUGUGCAAUGCACACCUGCAAUGCAUUCUGGAUUAGGAUAGGAUAUAGGUGGAUAGGAUUUGCAACAGAGAACAAUUCUGUCUUUGUAAUUGAAUGAUAUCAAACGUAGUUUUAUAUAAAAGGUGUUUUUUUAGACUUGGCUCGGGCCUAACUGAGACUGUUCGUAAUCGUGAACAGUGUAUUAAUUGCGAUCGGAAGUUGAAAGUAAGCAUGUCUCUGGUAUGCGACGCGUAUUUUGUACGUUUUCAGACGCGAUAAGGCAGCUCCCAUUACUUAUCUGCACUUUGUAUCUGGGCUGGUUUUUAAAGCUACAGAAGCCUACAUUAUCUCAUGCUUAGCAGCGCUUGCGAGAGAUAGAUCCUGAUUUCUUCUAGGAUUAAGUUUUCAUAUUUUGCAUCAGAAAAAAUAAUACUACUCACUCAAAGUAAUUUGUUUAAGGCCACCACAUUAGUGGAAGAUAAGCUAAACUAUGUUUAUGAAAAAAUCCUGAUAUGAACUCCAUCUGUAACUUUAAAUUAUAAUUAAUUGUUCCACUAAAGUCAUCAUUUUUGACAUAAUGUUCAAAAAAUAAUUUAGAUGGCACCGUUUUAAAUUUGGCUGAGAUCUAUUAAUUUUCCUUUCAUCAAGGUAAUAAUUAUAGUUGGAUUUUGAUGUGGCACGGCAAACUGACAAACACUAUUGAAAUGUCUAUCGAAAAAUUACA
Molecule: long non-coding RNA, 812 nt
Organism: Helicoverpa armigera (cotton bollworm)
Lineage: Eukaryota; Metazoa; Arthropoda; Insecta; Lepidoptera; Noctuidae
Exons: 2
Source: RefSeq, a predicted model, not a curated record